Molecule: ribosomal RNA, 253 nt
Filed under: uncultured bacterium
Lineage: Bacteria
Description: partial 16S ribosomal RNA
Rfam family: Bacterial small subunit ribosomal RNA
Source: RNAcentral
UACAGAGGUCUCAAGCGUUGUUCGGAUUCAUUGGGCGUAAAGGGUGCGUAGGCGGCGCGGUAAGUCGGGUGUGAAAUCUCGGAGCUUAACUCCGAAACUGCAUUCGAUACUGCCGUGCUUGAGGACUGGAGAGGAGACUGGAAUUUACGGUGUAGCGGUGAAAUGCGUAGAUAUCGGGAGGAACACCUGUGGCGAAGGCGGCCACCUGGUUGGAUACUGACGCUGAGCCGCGAAAGCGUGGGGAGCAAACAGG